GCCGAUGGCCCACGCAAGUGGGAUCAGGUAAGGGUGAAAGGGUGCGGUAAGAGCGCACCGCGCGGCUGGUAACAGUCCGUGGCACGGUAAACUCCACCCGGAGCAAGGCCAAAUAGGGGUUCAUAAGGUACGGCCCGUACUGAACCCGGGUAGGCUGCUUGAGCCAGUGAGCGAUUGCUGGCCUAGAUGAAUGACUGUCCACGACAGAACCCGGCUUAUCGGUCAGUUUCACUU
RNAcentral lists this RNase P RNA (234 nucleotides) under Salmonella enterica. RNAcentral describes it as "partial RNase P RNA component class A". It matches the Rfam family "Bacterial RNase P class A", at positions 128 to 367 of the family's 367-position model. From Rfam's summary of the family: Ribonuclease P (RNase P) is a ubiquitous endoribonuclease, found in archaea, bacteria and eukarya as well as chloroplasts and mitochondria. Its best characterised activity is the generation of mature 5'-ends of tRNAs by cleaving the 5'-leader elements of precursor-tRNAs. Lineage: Bacteria; Pseudomonadati; Pseudomonadota; Gammaproteobacteria; Enterobacterales; Enterobacteriaceae. The record is from RNAcentral.